RNAcentral lists this ribosomal RNA (506 nucleotides) under bacterium XN-80-9. RNAcentral describes it as "bacterial SSU rRNA". It matches the Rfam family "Bacterial small subunit ribosomal RNA", at positions 115 to 606 of the family's 1533-position model. The record is from RNAcentral.
ACGUGGGUAACCUGCCUGUAAGACUGGGAUAACUCCGGGAAACCGGGGCUAAUACCGGAUGGUUGUUUGAACCGCAUGGUUCAAACAUAAAAGGUGGCUUCGGCUACCACUUACAGAUGGACCCGCGGCGCAUUAGCUAGUUGGUGAGGUAACGGCUCACCAAGGCAACGAUGCGUAGCCGACCUGAGAGGGUGAUCGGCCACACUGGGACUGAGACACGGCCCAGACUCCUACGGGAGGCAGCAGUAGGGAAUCUUCCGCAAUGGACGAAAGUCUGACGGAGCAACGCCGCGUGAGUGAUGAAGGUUUUCGGAUCGUAAAGCUCUGUUGUUAGGGAAGAACAAGUACCGUUCGAAUAGGGCGGUACCUUGACGGUACCUAACCAGAAAGCCACGGCUAACUACGUGCCAGCAGCCGCGGUAAUACGUAGGUGGCAAGCGUUGUCCGGAAUUAUUGGGCGUAAAGGGCUCGCAGGCGGUUUCUUAAGUCUGAUGUGAAAGCCCCCG